AUGUCGAUUUCCAACCUUCGAGGCCGAUGGAUGCCCUCCUCCAUCACGGAGGAGGACAUGCUGAAGUUGAGAGAGGCCAGGUUCUUGACCGGUGAAAUCUCGCAUAGGCUGCCUGCUCAAGGGCAGGUCAUUCCCACUCCCAAGCCUGGUGAGAGUGUGGUGUUCAUGUCUCACUUCCUUCGGGGGCUAGGCUUCCCGAGGGAUCCCUUCGUGAGGGGGCUCAUGUAUUAUUAUGGGCUGGAAUUUCACGACUUAGCCCCGGAGUCCAUCCUCCAUAUUUCCUCAUCCAUCGUCGUGUGUGAAGCCUUCCUCCGUAUCACUCCUCACUUCGGACUAUGGCUCAAGACCUUCAAAGUAGAGCCGAAGAUGAUCGAGGGACGGCACGCGGGGUGCGGAGGUGCUUUUAUAAGCAAGAAUGCUGGUGCUCCAUGGCCCGAGGGCUCUUUUCAAGAGGAGUCCAGCUUAUGGCAACGAGAGUGGUUUUAUAUUACCGCUACCAGGGCCCCCAAGUGGAUGGCGCCACCUGCCUUUCGCUCGGGUCCCCCGCCACGACUGGCGUCAUGGGUCAAUACGGGGCUGGACUGGGGGCCGGCAAAGGACGUGCCCCUGUUGCAGGGCCGCAUCCGAGAUCUCCUAGAAAGAGACAUCAGUCUGGUCGUGGUGACGCAGGUUAUGUUAAUUCGCCGAGUUCUGCCCUGCAAACAUUGCCCCCUCCGCCUGUGGGAGUUCAACCCGGAGAGACCACGAGUUCUCCAACAUUUUCUUGGCAUGGCGCCCGUGGAGAUGUACAAAUUGUUCUUCGGACCACAAGUAGUGUGUCCGGAUUCUACGGAGGACGCAGGUCUGAGCUGCAAUCGUCCGGAUACUCAAGUAAGUAGCCUUGUGCCCGGACUCGCUAUCCGUAUAUUUAUCAUAAAAUUGCCCCUAAAAGAGUUGUCCUUUAAACAGGGGUGGAUAGCGAAAGCAAAGCUAAUCAGGUGUCUGGCCCCCCUCCCCGAGACCACGCCGGGUCCCGUGCUAGUCAGGAUGUUGGAGGUUGUGCCUUCAAAGGGAAGCGAGGGAGGGGACAAGGAAGCUACAGCCUCCUCGAAGGAGGUUGUUCGGAAGGGAAGAAUCGAAAAUUCCUCUCCUCAGGGGAAGAAGAGGACCGCCUCUGAAGACCCGGAGACCAUGGCCUUAAAGCAGGGGAAGAAAUCUUCGCCAGAGGGUCCUGUGCUGGGGGAUACUUCGGCCGAAUUAUGCCCUCAAGGGGAUCAGCCCUCCACCGAGCCAUAA
RNAcentral lists this ribosomal RNA (1275 nucleotides) under Triticum aestivum (bread wheat). RNAcentral's name for it is "partial small subunit ribosomal RNA". Lineage: Eukaryota; Viridiplantae; Streptophyta; Magnoliopsida; Poales; Poaceae. The record is from RNAcentral.